CCAAUAGCGUAUAUUAAAGUUGUUGCAGUUAAAAAGCUCGUAGUUGAAUUUCGGGGUCAGUAGGUUGGUCAUGCCACUGGUAUGUACUGGUCUCACUGAUUCCUCCUUCCUGAUGAACUGUAAUGCCAUUAAUUUGGUGUUGCAGGGAAUCUGGACUGUUACUUUGAAAAAAUUAGAGUGUUUAAAGCAGGCUAACGCCUGAAUACAUUAGCAUGGAAUAAUGAAAUAGGACGUUCGAUCCUAUUUUGUUGUUUUAUAAGAUUGACGUAAUGAUUAAUAGGGAUAGUUGGGCGCAUUAGUAUUCAAUUGUCAGCGGUGAAAUUCUUGGAUUUAUUGAAGACUAACUACUGCGAAAGCAUUUGCCAAGGAUGUUUUCAUUAAUCAAGAACGAAAGUUAGGGGAUCGAAGAUGAUCAGAUACCGUCGUAGUCUUAACCACAAACUAUGCCGACUAGCGAUCGGAUGAUGUUAAUUUUUUAAUGACUCAUUCGGCGCCUUACG
This 500-nucleotide ribosomal RNA is filed under the name uncultured Glomeromycotina. RNAcentral describes it as "partial small subunit ribosomal RNA". It matches the Rfam family "Eukaryotic small subunit ribosomal RNA", at positions 591 to 1092 of the family's 1831-position model. The record is from RNAcentral. Lineage: Eukaryota; Fungi; Glomeromycota.